GUGAAUCAUCGAAUCUUUGAACGCAAAUUGCACUCUCUUCGAAGAGUAUGCCUGUUUGAGUGUCAGCCUCAAAAAAAUUGGCAUAGUUGCUGUUACGCGGUAAUAUUCGUCGGGAAUUGGGUCAUCUUAAACCUUUGGGCUUAAGUGGCAUAAAAUUUUCUUUACGAUUCUAAGUACGUUUCUAAGAUUUUAUUUUCUUAUACGUUUAAGGUAGCGAUCUUUAUUAGAUGACGCCGUUGCAUC
This 243-nucleotide unclassified non-coding RNA is filed under the name Glomus sp. Its description in RNAcentral is "partial contains 5.8S ribosomal RNA and internal transcribed spacer 2". The stretch from base 1 to 65 matches the Rfam family "5.8S ribosomal RNA", at positions 84 to 154 of the family's 154-position model. Lineage: Eukaryota; Fungi; Glomeromycota; Glomeromycetes; Glomerales; Glomeraceae. The record is from RNAcentral.